RNAcentral lists this ribosomal RNA (468 nucleotides) under uncultured bacterium. Its description in RNAcentral is "partial 16S ribosomal RNA". It matches the Rfam family "Bacterial small subunit ribosomal RNA", at positions 28 to 507 of the family's 1533-position model. The record is from RNAcentral.
GACGAACGCUGGCGGCGUGCUUAACACAUGCAAGUCGAACGGAAAGGCCCUGCUUUUGUGGGGUGCUCGAGUGGCGAACGGGUGAGUAACACGUGAGUAACCUGCCCUUGACUUUGGGAUAACUUCAGGAAACUGGGGCUAAUACCGGAUAGGAGCUCCUGCUGCAUGGUGGGGGUUGGAAAGUUUCGGCGGUUGGGGAUGGACUCGCGGCUUAUCAGCUUGUUGGUGGGGUAGUGGCUUACCAAGGCUUUGACGGGUAGCCGGCCUGAGAGGGUGACCGGCCACAUUGGGACUGGGAUACGGCCCAGACUCCUACGGGAGGCAGCAGUGGGGAAUAUUGCACAAUGGGCGGAAGCCUGAUGCAGCAACGCCGCGUGCGGGAUGACGGCCUUCGGGUUGUAAACCGCUUUCGCCUGUGACGAAGCGUGAGUGACGGUAAUGGGUAAAGAAGCACCGGCUAAUUACGUG